RNAcentral lists this transfer RNA (73 nucleotides) under Stegodyphus mimosarum. It matches the Rfam family "tRNA". Rfam says of the family: Transfer RNA (tRNA) molecules are approximately 80 nucleotides in length. Their secondary structure includes four short double-helical elements and three loops (D, anti-codon, and T loops). The record is from Rfam by way of RNAcentral. Lineage: Eukaryota; Metazoa; Arthropoda; Arachnida; Araneae; Eresidae.
GCUUUCGUGGUGUAGUGGUCAGCAUGCUCGACGCGUAACCGAGAGGUCCGUGGUUCGAUUCCCGGCGAAGGCG